This 250-nucleotide non-coding RNA is filed under the name Anaerostipes sp. RNAcentral describes it as "T-box sequence". It matches the Rfam family "T-box leader". From Rfam's summary of the family: Uncharged tRNA acts as the effector for transcription antitermination of genes in the T-box leader family. The record is from RNAcentral. Lineage: Bacteria; Bacillati; Bacillota; Clostridia; Lachnospirales; Lachnospiraceae.
AGCAAAGCGAUGAUGGAAACAAGUAGAAUAGAGAUUGCUAUUUUCAGAGACUAUUCGGUUGGUGCGAGAAUAGAGGCAUCCUAUAUUGAAUACAUUCCUAAGCUGCUUCCUGAACAGAAUCUUUAGAUUCCCAUUAGGGCAAGCCGGGUACGCCCGAUACAGCGUACGAUGUGUAUUGGCACAUCAAGAGGAGUAUUUUGUGAGAAAUACUUGAUCCAGAGGUGGUACCGCGAUUAUCAUUGCCCUCUGU